AGUAAGAUGGUUGAGAAAUAGACAUUAGAUUGUAAAUCUAAUUACGAGGAUAGUCCCUCUCUUGCUA
RNAcentral lists this transfer RNA (67 nucleotides) under Ischnura pumilio. RNAcentral's name for it is "tRNA-Tyr". It matches the Rfam family "tRNA". From Rfam's summary of the family: Transfer RNA (tRNA) molecules are approximately 80 nucleotides in length. Their secondary structure includes four short double-helical elements and three loops (D, anti-codon, and T loops). Lineage: Eukaryota; Metazoa; Arthropoda; Insecta; Odonata; Coenagrionidae. The record is from RNAcentral.